UUUAAGUUGGGGCAACUACGGAGUAAAACAGAACCUCCACGAACCGCGACUAGCCCUCGCACACAAGGCGGACACGCCAACAACCAUGCAAAGCUUGAUCCAGUAAAACUGAUUUCCGAACCAAGCUACCCCAGGGAUAACAGCGCCAUCCCCUUCAAGAGCCCAUAUCGCCAAGGGGGCUUACGACCUCGAUGUUGGAUCAGGACACCCAGGCGGUGCAGCCGCUGCCAAAGGUUCGUUUGUUCAACGAAUAAUGUCCU
RNAcentral lists this ribosomal RNA (260 nucleotides) under Lygodactylus pictus. RNAcentral describes it as "partial large subunit ribosomal RNA". It matches the Rfam family "Bacterial large subunit ribosomal RNA", at positions 2269 to 2597 of the family's 2925-position model. Lineage: Eukaryota; Metazoa; Chordata; Lepidosauria; Squamata; Gekkonidae. The record is from RNAcentral.